This 507-nucleotide ribosomal RNA is filed under the name Triticum aestivum (bread wheat). RNAcentral describes it as "partial small subunit ribosomal RNA". Lineage: Eukaryota; Viridiplantae; Streptophyta; Magnoliopsida; Poales; Poaceae. The record is from RNAcentral.
AUGAACAGAGCUCGAGGGUUUCCAGGUAUACUCGGGUCCGUGGAUAGCAUGCAUUGGAAAUGGAAGAACUGUCCAAAAGCAUGGCAUGCACACUUCAAGGGUCGUGGGAAGGAUGCCACUAUCAUUCUUGAGGCAGUUGCUGAUCAUGAAACAUGGAUUUGGCAUGCAUAUUUUGGUAUGCCUGGUUCUUGCAACGACAUCAAUGCGCUCGACCGGUCACCUCUCUUUGCCAACUUAGCAAAUAGAGAAGCACCACCGGUGACCUUCAAAGCCAAUGGCCGCACCUACAACUAUGGGUACUAUCUUGCAGAUGGGAUCUACCCGAGGUGGAGUAAAUUCCUCAAGCCGGUUGCAAAACCUGAAAAGGUAACAAAGAACUCGCCUUUCAUAAUGCACAAGCGGCGGCUAGAAAAGAUGUUGAGAGGGCAUUUGGGAUUUUGCAAUCCCAAUUUGCUGUGCGAGGACCAUCUAGAUUUCGGGAUCAAAAGAUCCUUUGGUACAUCAUGA